Molecule: ribosomal RNA, 771 nt
Filed under: uncultured bacterium
Lineage: Bacteria
Description: bacterial SSU rRNA
Rfam family: Bacterial small subunit ribosomal RNA
Source: RNAcentral
AGAGUUUGAUCCUGGCUCAGGACGAACGCUGGCGGCGUGCUUAACACAUGCAAGUCGAACGGAAAGGCCCUUCGGGGUACUCGAGUGGCGAACGGGUGAGUAACACGUGGGUGAUCUGCCCUGCACUUUGGGAUAAGCCUGGGAAACUGGGUCUAAUACCGAAUAUGACCAUGCGCCUCCUGGUGUGUGGUGGAAAGCUUUUGCGGUGUGGGAUGGGCCCGCGGCCUAUCAGCUUGUUGGUGGGGUAAUGGCCUACCAAGGCGACGACGGGUAGCCGGCCUGAGAGGGUGACCGGCCACACUGGGACUGAGAUACGGCCCAGACUCCUACGGGAGGCAGCAGUGGGGAAUAUUGCACAAUGGGCGCAAGCCUGAUGCAGCGACGCCGCGUGAGGGAUGACGGCCUUCGGGUUGUAAACCUCUUUCAGCACAGACGAAGCGCAAGUGACGGUAUGUGCAGAAGAAGGACCGGCCAACUACGUGCCAGCAGCCGCGGUAAUACGUAGGGUCCGAGCGUUGUCCGGAAUUACUGGGCGUAAAGAGCUCGUAGGUGGUUUGUCGCGUUGUUCGUGAAAACUCACAGCUUAACUGUGGGCGUGCGGGCGAUACGGGCAGACUUGAGUACUGCAGGGGAGACUGGAAUUCCUGGUGUAGCGGUGGAAUGCGCAGAUAUCAGGAGGAACACCGGUGGCGAAGGCGGGUCUCUGGGCAAUAACUGACGCUGAGGAGCGAAAGCGUGGGGAGCGAACAGGAUUAGAUACCCUGGUAGUCC